Non-coding RNA from Microcebus murinus (gray mouse lemur), 693 nucleotides. Lineage: Eukaryota; Metazoa; Chordata; Mammalia; Primates; Cheirogaleidae. The record is from RefSeq and is a predicted model, not a curated record.
AAUUAUUUGUGUAAAUAAUUAUAUUCUGUCUCCUCCACAAGUAUCUAGAGCCCUCCGAUACAAGGCCUGGCCCAUAAGAAAAAAAGUCUGUUUGAAAUGAAUGAAUGAUUUACAGAGCCUGGAGAUAUAGAAUCACAAAAAAUUCACAGGCAAAACAGGGCACAGCCAAGGAACUUCCCAUAGCUAUACAUUGCCCGUACAGAGAGACAAUGUCCAGCCUGCACUGGAUACACAAGGAAAAUGACAGACUAACAGAUGGGCCAGAACAGAACCAAAGCAACAAGACAGAAAGCACAAACAGGUUCUAGAACCCUGGCAGGACACAAGUUAGAACUCAGAGGUAAGCACAGGCUGAAAACACCUGGUAGGGAGGGCAGGGCCACCUACUAGAAAGAACACCAGGUCACAAUCCCACGUCAAGACAGCAUCGAAGCCAUCAGAAAACAGAAAGAAGAAAACUGCAUUGGGUCUCCAAAAUGACUCACCUAUCUCUGAAGUCUAGAGGCUAAUAGUUAUAACUGGCACUCAUGAAAAAUGUCCAACUACUGCUAAGCCAAUAGGGAUGCUGAGGGACAGAGGGAUCCAAGUCUGAGAAUCUGUGGGAGGCCGGCCUCAUCCCUCCAGCCAGAGGCUCAGAGUAUAGAUGGAGAAAUUGAGGAACAGAGAAGCUAAGAAUUGGACCAAGGUUACACA